Long non-coding RNA from Aphis gossypii (cotton aphid), 3372 nucleotides. RefSeq lists it as uncharacterized. The record is from RefSeq and is a predicted model, not a curated record. The transcript is spliced from 3 exons. Lineage: Eukaryota; Metazoa; Arthropoda; Insecta; Hemiptera; Aphididae.
CAGUAACCGGAACUAAAUACGCGUUUAUUAUGUGGUGGGUCGUAUACGAGUGAUGUACGUUUACUAGUUUAUUGUUUGAAACAUUAACAGUUUCAGUACUCCGAACAUGAAUCGGAACAAUAGGAUGGGACAAAUAAUAAUUAAUAAACACUCGAAGUUAAACAUUGUGGGACUUGGGGAAAAUCCUUCACGGAUGGUAUGUAGAUUGAAUUUAAAAAUCAAUAAUUAUUAUUAAACAAUCUCAUUUUAAUCGAUGAAGUUGUUUAACUGCGCAGUGAUAACUUUAGAAAAUAAGUGACUGCAAUGACAUAAUUGACUACGCAUACAAAUUCACAUUUUUUUUUCUUUCUGUAAUCUUGAAUCCGCCGUUAUAGAGUAUUGACGUAUUUAUAUUAUAAAACUAUAUUAUCGUAAUUGAAUGCGACGUGGUUGAUAAGCAAUUUUUCCGUAUUACUUCUCUUGAAUUCGCUAUUUAUCAACAAACGCACUCUCUUCAAAACCACAGUACAGCGAAAUGGCACAAUUUCCGCAUAUUACCAGUAUAGAACUUAAACCAAGGCCAUUUUUUUGUCAGUAUGUUGUUUAUUGGAUAACAUCGUAUAGAUAGUACCUACCUACCAAAUUCAAUGUCAGCUGGAUAGUUUUAAGAGAAAUGCAAAUAAAUACAUCGUAAUUAUUAGUUUGUAUGUUUGAGUAUGCUUAAGAAAACAAGUCUAAAUCUGUAAUUAACGUGCAAAAGACAAAACUCAUCCUUGAAAACCACGCAUGUCGUAAUCGGUUUGAAAACAAUAAUAAUAUUUUUUCGAUUUUUUUUUUUUUAACCCAUAUAACAGUAUUAUGUAUCAUAGCAUUAUAGGGAUCGAGCUAACAACAACACACAAUACUCACAGUAAAAGUAAAAAGUAAUAGUAUUUUCUGGGGAAACUUGGCAUUAUUGAUUUUAAAUUUUUAAUGUAUAUCACGCAAUAUGUCUAGCCACUGCAGUAUUAUAAUUUAUUCGUUACAGUUAAUAAUUAAUAGCAAAUACGAAGGAAAACGUCCGUGGUCAUAAGUAUAAAAUAAAGUGAAUGAUAAGCUCAGACUGUAGACUUGCAGGUUUUAGCGUGAACGCGUUUGUUCUUAGACGAAAAAAAUUUACUGUUUAAAGUUGAUUACCAGCGACACGUCACGCGUGACCCGAUAAAAAUGUUUUUUCGUUUAAUUAUUAUCGUAAUGUAUUUUUUUAAAUUGUGCUACGCGGUAUAUUCGACGAAAAAUGAUCGAAUAAACGAACCAGUCUGUAUAUAAUAAUAUCAUGUUAUAAACUAUAUUCCAGCACGUCCAUAUAAUUAUUGAUGUAAUCGUUUCAGGCUCACCACUUGGCAUAUUAAAAUAAAUGGCUCGUCUAUUCGAUUCUCAUAUUAUAUUAUUUGAAUCGAUAUUAUACUGAUCUUAUUAAAUGUCUAUAAAUAACAUAUAGGCCGAUAAACUGGGACAAGUGCAAUGCAAAUUAUAAUAAUAAAAUAAAAAUUUCAACAACGGUUCCAUCAUUGCAGUUGAAGAUUUCUUCCGAUAAUCGUUCAGAACAUUUUUGAUGACUGUUUAGUUUUCAUCACUGAAUAAAAAUGUUAUUAGAAAAAAAUAUUCGAAUUACGAAAUGGGUAAAUAAAUAUCACCUUCGUUUGAGUACCUGGUUACAGAAACAUUGAAGGCAACGAAAAAGCAUGUAGCAAAGAGCAAUAAAAUCAAUAGUAGAAUCUAUAAACCCGUAAUGUAUAAAAUUCAUAAAUAUUAUAUUUUUUACAGACAUGAAAUAAUACCUACAGAUAAAAGAUAAAAUAAUGAUUAAAUAGCAACAUUUUAAUUUAAAUAGAAAAAAAAACAAUAAUAAUAAAAUAAAAAACUUCGUAUUUUUUUUUAUACUUGUGAGUUGUGAGUUCCUAUACAAUAGCAGAAAAAAAAAAUAAAAUAAAAAAAUGACCGACCAACAUGUAAAAUACGUGCAACGAUACGUCGAUACUUACAGUGAAACACAUCAUAAUAAAUCACCACUAAAUAUCAUCGACCUUACCAGUUUUAAUACACCACUCCAGUACAUUAUUUGCAUGCAGCAAUAGAAUUCUUUAAAGACAAAUUUGUACAAAAAGAAUUAUCAAAUUAAAUUGUAUAUAAUAUAAUGAAACAAAAACUUUAACAAAAAUUAGUUAAGCUACUAUUUAGUUGUUGAAAUUAUACACAUAUAACUUAUGUAAUUAUUAUAAGUUUAUGUUAAAAUGUAUGUACAUAAAAAAAAACUAAUAAUAACGAUAAUGUUAUUAAAAUCUUGAUCAUUGCAUAAUAUUCGGUAAAUAAAACUUACUGACAUUAAUACAAAAAUACUUAUAUUAAGGCUUGAAAAUACUUUGGACACAAGAAUUUUUCUCAAGAAAGGCAAAGAAAUCUCACGAGAAAAAAAUCUCGUUUUUUGAAUACAAAAUUUAAUAUCAAUAAAUCUAAUCAACGAAAAAUUCCACAAGGUUCCGACAAAGAGAUUGAAACCACUUUAUUUCGCAAUAUUUUCGUAUUUUAAAAUUCGUUGGGAAAUAGUUUGUUAGUAUUUAAUUAAACACAUUUUUUUUUAAGACUGUUGUUUUUUCAAUAUCCCAUUCCAUUUUUUUUUACAUGUUUUCUAUUUCUAUACUCACGAUAAUAUUAUAUUUACUUAACCAACAGUUAUUUAUACUAGAUAAAUAGAUAUUUAGCGAAUAGCUAAUUAAAUAUAAUUGCAUAAUUUAUGUAGGUAAAUGAAACUUUUGCGACUCUGCUAAUAUUGUAUUUCAAUUAAUCCAUAAACAGCACAUGAUUCAAAGUUCAACACUUAAAAGCCUAAAAACAAUGAAUUGUACGACGCAAUGAAUAACAUUCUAUAUGCAAAAGUUUUUAAAACAUAUUUUUUCUUAAGAUCAAAUAACUUAAAACUGCAUAGUAUGAAAAAUGUUGUUUUCUCGGCCAACCGAUAAUGUACCAUACGUUUGUAAAUUUAAGCUAAAAAUGUAAUUUUAAAUAUUAUUGGUUUAAAUUGUUAUUGAUGCUUUAUAUACUACACAUUUAUUUAUUUUUUUUACAGGGAAAUUAGUACUAUUAUAUAAUAAUAAUAUUAUUAUUAUGUAUACUUACAGAGUUAUAUUAUAAACCUUCAUAGAAUUCUAUACUAUGUGGUUUAAAAUUUCAUAAACUUGAUCGUUGACAAACGCGUAUGCUAAAACAUUUUAAGUAUGACGCAUGUACAACUGGUUUUAUGUACUAGUACUACAAUCAGAAUCCAUUAGCUAUUUUUUUCUUCAGUAUUUUCUUCAUUCUGUUAAAAUGUAUUUAAGUACGAUAAACCGAAUAACAUUCUACAUAACAUUUUUU